RNAcentral lists this ribosomal RNA (122 nucleotides) under Octaviania sp. TO-2011. Its description in RNAcentral is "partial 28S ribosomal RNA". It matches the Rfam family "Eukaryotic large subunit ribosomal RNA", at positions 1 to 121 of the family's 3401-position model. Lineage: Eukaryota; Fungi; Basidiomycota; Agaricomycetes; Boletales; Boletaceae. The record is from RNAcentral.
UUGACCUCAAAUCAGGUAGGAUUACCCGCUGAACUUAAGCAUAUCAAUAAGCGGAGGAAAAGAAACUAACAAGGAUUCCCCUAGUAACUGCGAGUGAAGCGGGAAAAGCUCAAAUUUUGAAU